UACGUAGGGUCCGAGCGUUGUCCGGAAUUACUGGGCGUAAAGCGUGCGCAGGCGGUUCGUCGUGUCCGAUGUGAAAGCCCCGGGCUCAACCUGGGAAUGGCAUUGGAAACUGGCGGACUCGAGUGUGGCAGAGGGGGGUGGAAUUCCGCGUGUAGCAGUGAAAUGCGUAGAGAUGCGGAGGAACACCGAUGGCGAAGGCAGCCCCCUGGGCUAACACUGACGCUCAGGCACGAAAGCGUGGGGAGCAAACAGG
This 253-nucleotide ribosomal RNA is filed under the name uncultured bacterium. RNAcentral's name for it is "partial 16S ribosomal RNA". It matches the Rfam family "Bacterial small subunit ribosomal RNA", at positions 524 to 776 of the family's 1533-position model. The record is from RNAcentral.